UACGGGGGGGGCAAGCGUUGUUCGGAAUUACUGGGCGUAAAGGGCUCGUAGGUGGCCAACUAAGUCAGACGUGAAAUCCCCAGGCUCAACUUGGGAACUGCGUCUGAUACUGGAUGGCUUGAAUUCGGGAGAGGGAUGCAGAAUUCCAGGUGUAGCGGUGAAAUGCGUAGAUAUCUGGAGGAACACCGGUGGCGAAGGCGGCGUUCUGGACUGUUUCUGACACUGAAAAACGAAAGCCAGGGGAGCAAACGGG
RNAcentral lists this ribosomal RNA (253 nucleotides) under uncultured bacterium. Its description in RNAcentral is "partial 16S ribosomal RNA". It matches the Rfam family "Bacterial small subunit ribosomal RNA", at positions 524 to 776 of the family's 1533-position model. The record is from RNAcentral.